Dermacentor albipictus is the source of this 2003-nucleotide long non-coding RNA. RefSeq lists it as uncharacterized. The record is from RefSeq and is a predicted model, not a curated record. Lineage: Eukaryota; Metazoa; Arthropoda; Arachnida; Ixodida; Ixodidae.
CGCCUUGGCAGAAGAAGAAGAGGAAGAUCAGCUCAUUCGCAGCUUGUGUUCUUGAGAAUCACUGUUUCGCCUGUGAAAUUCUAUUCAGAAUCGCUUUUUGGGUGAUUAUAUCGAAGGUUAACACUGUAUUUGUUCAAGUUUUUUCCUCGCUAGCUCGUCGCAUUGCAAAGCAGACGGCAAAUCACGUUCGGCCAGGGACUCCGGAACACUCUAUGGACGUACACCGCUCUCUGCCCGAGAAAGAACAAACGCCUCCCGGCGUCGAGAGCACCGGCACGGAGUUCGGAUCACCGCCCUAUGCUUCGUCGUUCACGGCGAUCGUCAGAGGAAGCUUUCCCAUCUCACUCGGAGACAGCGGCACCCAUGUUGGCCGCCCACGUGAGAAUCAUCACAGAGAUCGCGGUGUGUUGCAAGCGGCGAAUGCGACACCACAUGGGCCUGCUCCUGCCGAUAUACAAGAGCGCGCAAAAUCUCAGCUGGUGUGUAGAUUCUGCGCUGGUGCGGCCAACCUGUGCUUCCGCUGCAUUGACAGCCUGUCGCCGACGUUCCUGCUCCUCACGCUGCUCACCUUCGCCGUCAUGCUGCUCCUGCUCUACAUGCAGCUGUGGCUUAGCCGGCCUCACCACUACAGUGUCCAAUGAACGUGCGCUAUUUAGGAAUGACUCAGCCUGCGGCUGCAUCUGCGCGAGCGAGUGCUUUUGUCAAGCAUCGCUGCGCAACAUCUUCCAAAAGGAGAUACAUAACGCCGCCAUUGUCGCGACUCGUUUCAAAGGACUUUUGCCGCAGCAAAGAUCACGGCCCUAAAGAGCAACCCAACCUAUCAAAAAUGGACGGAACAAUCUGUUGAAUAACAAGCCCAAUAUAUGUGCCAGUGAGUUCCUGCGUCAAGCCCAUUUUGAGUAGGUCCUUAGUGACUUUCGUGAAUUUAGGAAAUAUUGACUUGUUAAACUCAAUUACACAGGAUGUUCACAUUGUUACGCAAGCAAAACACACAAGUAGGUUACACUCGUAGAAUACUCACAGUAUAGGUGGCCAUCAAGUUUUCGUACAUAACGCAUAACUAAUGUUCGUACUCUAUAACAACACCGAAAUAGGGAGUACUUGAAAGCUAUACCUUUUCCUUUCUUAACCGCACGCUGUAGACGAGCACGAAUGUAAAUGAAAGAAGCAACGUUGACCAUGACACAGCUGGUCUAUCGGCUUUUUCAGUAGCGUGGACUUGUCUAGGCCGGACGCAAAGUUGUUGGAAAGGUAGCGCAUUCAGUGCUAUACAAACUUUGGUGUGCCUACCACGUGUCAUCAGUCCUUUAUAGACUUGACGUUGGCGAUGAACAUUUCCAGUGUCAUCGCAGAGCUCAUGACGCUAUACCAUAGCGAUCACAAAGCCAUAGACCAAAUAAGAGACGGUGGAAAGAAAUCAUCAAUUCUCUGCAGUAUGUGUCUUUAUUUAAAUCAAUAUAGUCCUUCAAUCUAUAUACAGCUCUGCUGGUCAUCCACCUUAAUGGAGUGCAAUAGCUCUGAAUUUAUUAGCUUAAUGCUCGCGUUUCAAACAUGAAUGUUGUGCUUGCUUAAGAUAGGAAGAUAUAUCAUUCAGUCACAUCAGAACAGUCACACCCGUCUCAGCGGCUAUGGCGUUGAGCUUCGGUGCUACUUUUGUUGAGAAUUUCGGAGCACGUUCGCGAACCCUAGCUGGUCUAAAUUAUUUGCCACUACGGCAUGCCUCGUAAUUAGAUCGUAUUUUUUGGCAAGUAAAACCCCACAAUUCAGAACUGUGCUUGAACAGUGUGACUCCUAGAAGGACAUGGAGAGAAACAAAUUCCGCAGAGCAAGCACUGACUGCCAGCUCAAUUUUUAUUUGAAGAAUUUUUAUUUGAACCACCUAAACUACUGUAUUGCCGCUGUUGCCACUACCUGUAAGGCCCCAGGCCUCGUCAAGGUGCUCAAUAAGCAGCUUCUUGUCUGGGGUUCAUUUUUCCUUUAGGAAAAUAAAACUGAUUCUGGAA